Molecule: long non-coding RNA, 4002 nt
Organism: Zeugodacus cucurbitae (melon fly)
Lineage: Eukaryota; Metazoa; Arthropoda; Insecta; Diptera; Tephritidae
Exons: 2
Source: RefSeq, a predicted model, not a curated record
UAAUUUUAAGCUGGUAUUAAUAUGAAAUCCGAGAACUUUUUACAGUUCAUAUUUCAAAAAGGCAGAAAUAAUCGCACUAAAAGUUAACUUGAUUUAAAAUUUCAAGAGACUACUAAUAAUCGGCCCUAUUUCCGUUGUCGUUGUCGUUUUUAUCGUCGCUUCGUUCCUAAAUUGGUAUUCUUGAAGUAUAUCGUAACGCCUAAGAAAAGUUAUCGAAAUUUGUCUACAUAUUUUAUAUAGUAUACUUUAAGGAGCUCUUUUCCCAUAUAAAAAUUUCUUUCUUAUGCAACGAGACACAUUUUUAAAGCAGUCCUUAAUGGAUUUUAUGCUAUUCUGUAUUGACUCUAAACAACGUUAUCACUGUAAUUAUUGUACUUACGUACAACAAUGUUAGUAUUCCAUUUUUAUUUGAUUUUUUUAAAGAAGUAGUGGUGACAUCUGCGGAUAUUUUUCCAUUUCAGAAAUUAAAAGUUCAAACUGUUUCCGAUUUGGAAUUUUCAUCUUCACUUCAAAUAUUCCUUCAAACAACCGCGUCGUUUCUAUGUCGCUCACAAUUAUAGCAACGACAAAAAACGACUGUUUCUAUGUCGUUUCUAUAGUCGUUUCAAAUUGGGAAAUCUCAAUUUAUUUUCGAUAAAUGUCGUUAACGCCAACUGGAAUGCCAAAUAGGCGUUCUUAAGUCGUUUUAAAACGAUAACGACAACGGGAAUAGGGGCGAAUAUUAAAUUUUGUACAACUAAUUUUAUUAAAUAUUCUUUGUAUUUUUCCGGUUCGAUCGAAAAAUGGUUCGAUGCGAUCGAAAAAUUUUUCGUCGGAUCAUUGAACCGUAUCAAAGAUAAAAUUUACGAUCAGAUUGAACUCACUUACCGGCUCGAAAAAAUACAAUCCGCGGCUAAAAGCUGUCGCUAAUUACAAAAUCAUUGAAUCCGCAAAAUCGAAAAUUUUGGUCGAAAUCUAUCCGUUGAGUGAGUUGCGGAAAUUUAAAAGAAGUAAACCAUUUGGAAGUUUUUUGUAAACAAUUACUGAUGACGUACGAAAUUGUAUUUUAAAUGGGUAUUUUAGGGACAAGAGAAAAAAAAUAACAAAAAUAAAUUAAAGAUGUUUAAAAGCGAUAUAGAGUUGCCCCCUCGAAAUAGUGAAACAAUUUUCUCAAAGAGCAUCAGGCGAAUUAAAUAUUUUUUGGAAGAAAUUUCACAAUAAUUAAAGGUCAGUAUAAAUUUAUUUUUAACAAAGCAAAAAGCACAUACACUCAAAUAUUACAGAAUGGUGGAAAACAAUUUGUAAUCAUUUGUAUAUGUAAAUGUUUUUAAUCCUUCUUCUUAUUAAGUGACAAGGCGUAUAAUGUGGACAAUUUAUGGUACGGUUUUGGAAUUUUCAUCACAUAAUUACUCCUAAUAAUAUUCAUUAAACCCUAAAAUAGAAUUAAAAUGAUAUAUUCACUACUUCUUACUUUAUACAUACAUUCAUAUAAUGUAAAGUAAACGAUUCAAAUCGACUUCAAAGUUCGGGUAUAUGGGAAGUAGGCGUGGCUGUGAAUCGAUUUGGACCAUUUUCAUAACAUAUCAUUGAGAUGCCAAGAUGUUAUGAACCGAACUUCAUUGAAAUUGGUCGAAUAGUUUCUGAGAUAUGGUUCUUGACGUAAGCGGAGCCACGCCCAUUUAAAAUAUUGUAUACCAAUUUAAGUGCAGCUCUUCUGUACCAUCUUUACCAUGAAAUUUAAGGUUUCUAGUGUUUUUUCUUAAUGAAUUAAUGAUUUAAAGCAUUUUUAGUAGUUUUCAAUAUAACUUUUGUAUGUGAGGUGGGUGUGGUUACAAUCAGUUUCCUCCAUUUUCGGACUAUAAGGUAGUAUCUAAAAGAAACGACUGUAGAGAGUUUGGUUGAUAUAGCUUUAGUAGUUUACAGAUAUGUACAAAAAACCUAUUUUGGAGCGGGGCUAAGCCCACUUCCCAAAAAAAUUACAUUCGGAUACGCCCCUUCCUAGUGCGAUCCUUUAUACGAAAUUUUUUAUAACUUUAUUUAUGACUUAGUUACGGCACUUUAUAUGUUUUCGGCUUUCGUCAUUAUGUGGGCGUGGUAAUGGUCCGAUUUCGCCCGUAUAACCUCCUCAGGGUGCUAAGGAAUAUAUGUACCAAGUUUAAUUAAGAUAUCUCAAUUUUUACUCAAGUUAUCGCUUACAGGGACAGACGUACCGACAGACAUCCAGAUUUCAACUCCACUCGUCAUGCAGAUCAUUUAUAUAUAUAUAGCCUUAUAUCUAACUCUUUUAUUUCUGUGUGACACAAACAAUCGUUAUGUGAACAAAACUAUAAUACUCUCUUUAACAACUUUUUUGCGAGAGUAUAAUCAAAGUCUGUUUGGAUUUCAAACAAUUUUCAUUUAUUCAAAAACUUGCAGCAGAACAACUUAUAAAUAUCUUUCAAAUCUACAACUGUGUUCGAAAUAAUAGCAGCGGUAUAACCAAAAAUUUAUUCAAAGCUAUAAAGUUGUUAUAGUUCAUUGUUAUUUUACUAUUUACUAUUUAAACUUACAAGAAAUAUAGUUUCCUGAGAAAAUAACAUACAUAUAUUUUUUAAAUUAAUAAAAAAAAGUGUGGAAACAAUUUCAGCUGUGAUUAAUAAUAGCAGUAUUGAGCAUUUUACUUCAAAAACCAAUUUAUUCAUUAUAAUAAAACAAAAUAAAGUUUAAAUAAUUACCACAUAGUCGAAUUACUAUCGUUGCACAUCUCCAAGGCAUGGAGUCCACAAAAUGCCUGCGUUUCUCAAGAGGAAUGGCCUUGCACAUCUUCUUCAUAAUAUUCCAUAAGUGCUUCGAAUUUGAUUGUGUUUUUUUUCUCUACAGCUUCCUUAAUCUCUGCCCAAAGAUUCUCACUUGGAUUAAGGUCAGAUGAUUGAGCCGAUGAUUUUCGAUUCAGCGUAUGGGAGCAUAGACGGCUCAAUUUUUUCCUCGUAAAUUUUGGCCUCCAUGUUUUUUUAAAUCCAAUAUAACGGACCUAUACCGUAGUAAAAGAAGCCUCCCAAUACGUUGAUUUAACACAUUCAUGUUUCACAGCCCGGGAAACAAAUCUAAAGGUCCAGACCAAAAUUUUCGCAUUUCAAUCAAAUUAUUUAAAAUAAUAUGACCAUUUCGCUUGCACUGCUCUUAUUAAUCACAGCAAAAAACAACUACGUUGCACAAAAAAUAACGGUACUCUAGGUAUAUGAUAACUGUAUCAAAUAUCAAUUUAAACACAGAUUCCCAAUAUUUAUUAUUUCGAACACAGUUGUAUUUGAAAAUAUAUAAAAUAUAGUAAACAUAACAAAUAACAACGUUUUAAUUCUUAGCGUACUUCACAAGUGGAAGAUCCAAAGGAUUGGAACGAUAUCUAAUUAGCCGUCGAAUUAAUACGACAUUCAAGCUUUCGUACCGACUCAUGAAAAAUAAUGUAUAACUACUGAACAUAGUUCUUUUUUAUAUUUUGAUUAAAAUAAUAUAUUUUUGUUCACGUAUUUGUAUUUUUAACUGCACGAAUUGUUACUCACAUUUGAACAAUGCUGCCAAAAUCUAGCCUCAGUAGCCUUAUAUGUGACAUUUUUAAAUUAACUGUAUCUACAUAUGUAUGUAUGUAUAUGUAAAAAAAAUAAUUAAAUAAUACUUUCGUUCUAUAUGAAUACAACGGAUGGAACCCGUUUGCUUCUAUUACUUUGUCCAAUACUGUAUGUAUUAUUAUAUAGAAGGAAAAUAUGGAGAUGGUUACGAUUUGGAGUCUUACUGCUGUUUCCGAACAUCAAGUAUCACAACAACCAGUACCACAGAUAUUAAAUGGCGUAACGAGCAUAUUGAGUAUACUCCGGAACGUUAUAUCGUGACCAAAUGUCAAGAGAUAUAUGAAUGAAAUAAUACAAAAUAUGAUGAAUUUCAAUUUUAAGCCGAAAUUGUGAAGAAAAACAAGAUCAAUAUAUUAUGUGCAAUAAAACAAAUUUCUAUGUGAAAAUUUCAAAUUAAAUAUACAUUUUUAAGACCAUC